This 468-nucleotide ribosomal RNA is filed under the name uncultured bacterium. RNAcentral describes it as "partial 16S ribosomal RNA". It matches the Rfam family "Bacterial small subunit ribosomal RNA", at positions 28 to 507 of the family's 1533-position model. The record is from RNAcentral.
GACGAACGCUGGCGGCGUGCUUAACACAUGCAAGUCGAACGGAAAGGCCCUGCUUUUGUGGGGUGCUCUGGUGGCGAACGGGUGAGUAACACGUGAGUAACCUGACCUUGACUUUGGGAUAGCUUCAGGAAACUGGGGCUAAUCCCGGAUAGGAGCUCCUGCUGCAUGGUGGGGGUUGGAAAGUUUCGGCGGUUGGGGAUGGACUCGCGGCUUAUCAGCGUGUUGGUGGGGUAGUGGCUUACCAAGGCUUUGACGGGUAGCCGGCCUGAGAGGGUGACCGGCCACAUUGGGACUGAGAUACGGCCCAGACUCCUAGGGGAGGGAGCAGUGGGGAAUAUUGCACAAUGGGCGGAAGCCUGAUGCAGCAACGCCGCGUGCGGGAUGACGGCCUUCGGGUUGUAAACCGCUUUCGCCUGUGACGAAGCGUGAGUGACGGUAAUGGGUAAAGAAGCACCGGCUAACUACGUG